GUAAUAAUGACACAGCAAGAUUAGUAUCUAAUCUAAGAAUCUCUGUUAAUUAUUGACUACUCACUAGGCAUCAUGCUCAUUAUUGUAUGUACAUUAUUUAUUUAAAUUUUAUACUGCCUUAGUGACAGACAAUUGUGUAUUAUUCCUGUUUUCUGAAGGAGAAAUUGGUGCUUGGAUACUUUGUGUAACAUGCUUAAAGUCACGUUAAAACUAACACAAACAAUGUCAAGAGCCUCAGUUCUUAAUACUGAAAUUAGGAAGCCAUUGAGGACAGGCUGUUUGUAUAAUCCCUGAUAAAAUGACUAUUAAGAGAAUGAGAACAGACUUUUUAAAAGUAUAUUCCGGCUCUUUACUUUGGAAAUUUUAAAUCCUGGAUGAGACAGAAAAAUUGGAGGACAAAUAAAAAUACUUUUGAGAGAAAGAUGAUAAGAACAGUAAAUCUCCCUUUGUCUGUCACCUGACACAAACCCAAAGAUACAUGGGCAUACCUGAAGCAGAUUCCUUUAGAAUUAAAGAGGAAGAAAAAGAUAGAUAUAUGGUCAGAGUGUUUUAAAGAGUGAAUGUAGGGUAAGUCUAGACAGAAACGUAAUAAUAUCACUUUUUAGUAAUGUAUCCAGUGCCCCAAAUGACUAUAAAGUAGCAGCAAGUGGGGCACUGGAUACAUUACUCAAAGGUGAUAUUGUAUUUCUG
This 690-nucleotide long non-coding RNA is filed under the name Pan troglodytes (chimpanzee). Its description in RNAcentral is "lncRNA (ENSPTRG00000053653.1)". Lineage: Eukaryota; Metazoa; Chordata; Mammalia; Primates; Hominidae. The record is from RNAcentral.